RNAcentral lists this ribosomal RNA (1237 nucleotides) under Escherichia coli. RNAcentral describes it as "partial 23S ribosomal RNA". It matches the Rfam family "Bacterial large subunit ribosomal RNA", at positions 1 to 1268 of the family's 2925-position model. Lineage: Bacteria; Pseudomonadati; Pseudomonadota; Gammaproteobacteria; Enterobacterales; Enterobacteriaceae. The record is from RNAcentral.
GGGUUGUGAGGUUAAGCGACUAAGCGUACACGGUGGAUGCCCUGGCAGUCAGAGGCGAUGAAGGACGUGCUAAUCUGCGAUAAGCGUCGGUAAGGUGAUAUGAACCGUUAUAACCGGCGAUUUCCGAAUGGGGAAACCCAGUGUGUUUCGACACACUAUCAUUAACUGAAUCCAUAGGUUAAUGAGGCGAACCGGGGGAACUGAAACAUCUAAGUACCCCGAGGAAAAGAAAUCAACCGAGAUUCCCCCAGUAGCGGCGAGCGAACGGGGAGCAGCCCAGAGCCUGAAUCAGUGUGUGUGUUAGUGGAAGCGUCUGGAAAGGCGCGCGAUACAGGGUGACAGCCCCGUACACAAAAAUGCACAUGCUGUGAGCUCGAUGAGUAGGGCGGGACACGUGGUAUCCUGUCUGAAUAUGGGGGGACCAUCCUCCAAGGCUAAAUACUCCUGACUGACCGAUAGUGAACCAGUACCGUGAGGGAAAGGCGAAAAGAACCCCGGCGAGGGGAGUGAAAAAGAACCUGAAACCGUGUACGUACAAGCAGUGGGAGCACGCUUAGGCGUGUGACUGCGUACCUUUUGUAUAAUGGGUCAGCGACUUAUAUUCUGUAGCAAGGUUAACCGAAUAGGGGAGCCGAAGGGAAACCGAGUCUUAACUGGGCGUUAAGUUGCAGGGUAUAGACCCGAAACCCGGUGAUCUAGCCAUGGGCAGGUUGAAGGUUGGGUAACACUAACUGGAGGACCGAACCGACUAAUGUUGAAAAAUUAGCGGAUGACUUGUGGCUGGGGGUGAAAGGCCAAUCAAACCGGGAGAUAGCUGGUUCUCCCCGAAAGCUAUUUAGGUAGCGCCUCGUGAAUUCAUCUCCGGGGGUAGAGCACUGUUUCGGCAAGGGGGUCAUCCCGACUUACCAACCCGAUGCAAACUGCGAAUACCGGAGAAUGUUAUCACGGGAGACACACGGCGGGUGCUAACGUCCGUCGUGAAGAGGGAAACAACCCAGACCGCCAGCUAAGGUCCCAAAGUCAUGGUUAAGUGGGAAACGAUGUGGGAAGGCCCAGACAGCCAGGAUGUUGGCUUAGAAGCAGCCAUCAUUUAAAGAAAGCGUAAUAGCUCACUGGUCGAGUCGGCCUGCGCGGAAGAUGUAACGGGGCUAAACCAUGCACCGAAGCUGCGGCAGCGACGCUGAUGCGUUGUUGGGUAGGGGAGCGUUCUGUAAGCCUGCGAAGGUGUGCUGUGAGG